RNAcentral lists this ribosomal RNA (906 nucleotides) under Gliomastix murorum var. felina. RNAcentral's name for it is "eukaryotic LSU rRNA". It matches the Rfam family "Eukaryotic large subunit ribosomal RNA", at positions 1 to 933 of the family's 3401-position model. Lineage: Eukaryota; Fungi; Ascomycota; Sordariomycetes; Hypocreales; Bionectriaceae. The record is from RNAcentral.
CAAGGUCGACCUCAGAUCAGGUAGGAAUACCCGCUGAACUUAAGCAUAUCAAUAAGGCGGAGGAAAAGAAACCAACAGGGAUUGCCUCAGUAACGGCGAGUGAAGCGGCAACAGCUCAAAUUUGAAAUCUGGCCUCUGGCCCGAGUUGUAAUUUGCAGAGGAUGUUUCUGGCGAGGUGCCUUCCGAGUUCCCUGGAACGGGACGCCAUAGAGGGUGAGAGCCCCGUACGGUUGGUCGCUAAGCCUCUGUGAAACUCCUUCGACGAGUCGAGUAGUUUGGGAAUGCUGCUCUAAAUGGGAGGUGUACGCCUUCUUAAGCUAAAUACCGGCUAGAGACCGAUAGCGCACAAGUAGAGUGAUCGAAAGAUGAAAAGCACUUUGAAAAGAGGGUUAAAAAGUACGUGAAAUUGUUGAAAGGGAAGCGCUCUUGACCAGACUUGCGCCGGUUGAUCAUCCGCCGUUCUCGGUGGUGCACUCUGCCGGCUCAGGCCAGCAUCAGUUCGGUCCGGGGGAUAAAGGCUUCGGGAAUGUGGCUCUCUCCGGGGAGUGUUAUAGCCCGUUGCGUAAUACCUGGGCUGGACUGAGGUUCGCGCAUCUGCAUGGAUGCUGGCGUAAUGGUUAUCAGUGACCCGUCUUGAAACACGGACCAAGGAGUCGUCUUCGUAUGCGAGUGUUCGGGUGUCAAACCCCUACGCGUAAUGAAAGUGAACGUAGGAGAGAGCUUCGGCGCAUCUCCGACCGAUCCUGAUGUUCUCGGAUGGAUUUGAGUAAGAGCAUACGGGGCCGGACCCGAAAGAAGGUGAACUAUGCCUGUAUAGGGUGAAGCCAGAGGAAACUCUGGUGGAGGCUCGCAGCGGUUCUGACGUGCAAAUCGAUCGUCAAAUAUGGGCAUGGGGGCGAAAGACUA